GUGCACCAGGCGCGAAACCUCCGCAAUGCACGCAAGUGCGACGGGGGAACCCCAAGUGCCACUCUUAACGGGGUGGCUUUUCAGAAGUGUAAAAAGCUUCUGGAAUAAGGGCUGGGCAAGACCGGUGCCAGCCGCCGCGGUAACACCGGCAGCUCAAGUGGUAGCCGCCUUUAUUGGGCCUAAAGCGUCCGUAGCCGGUCUGAUAAGUCUCUGGUGAAAUCCCACAGCUUAACUGUGGGAAUUGCUGGAGAUACUAUCAUGACUCGAGGUCGGGAGAGGCUGGAGGUACUCCCAGGGUAGGGGUGAAAUCCUGUAAUCCUGGGAGGACCACCUGUGGCGAAGGCGUCCAGCUGGAACGAACCUGACGGUGAGGGACGAAAGCCAGGGGCGCGAACCGGAUUAGAUACCCCAGUAGUCC
Molecule: ribosomal RNA, 418 nt
Filed under: uncultured Methanothermobacter sp.
Lineage: Archaea; Methanobacteriati; Methanobacteriota; Methanobacteria; Methanobacteriales; Methanobacteriaceae
Description: bacterial SSU rRNA
Rfam family: Archaeal small subunit ribosomal RNA
Source: RNAcentral